UUAGCCCUAAACCCCAGCACCUAUUAACCAAACUGUUCGCCAGAGAACUACUAGCAACAGCUAAAAACUCAAAGGACUUGGCGGUGCUUCACACCCACCUAGAGGAGCCUGUCCCAUAAUCGAUAAACCCCGAUAAACCUCACCACCAUUUGCCUACUCAGUCUAUAUACCGCCAUCUUCAGCAAACCCUUAAAAGGAAGCAAAGUAAGCACAAUAAUGCCCAUAAAAAAGUUAGGUCAAGGUGUAGCUAAUAUGGUGGUCUAAGAUGGGCUACAUUCUUUACACAAAAGCAUAUACGAAUGUUACUAUGAAACUAUUAACUGAAGGAGGAUUUAGCAGUAAAUUAAGAAUAGAGAGCUUAAUUGAAUUCAGGCCAUGAAGCACGC
Molecule: ribosomal RNA, 386 nt
Filed under: Dendrohyrax dorsalis (Western tree hyrax)
Lineage: Eukaryota; Metazoa; Chordata; Mammalia; Hyracoidea; Procaviidae
Description: partial 12S ribosomal RNA
Rfam family: Bacterial small subunit ribosomal RNA (bases 43-386)
Source: RNAcentral